Molecule: microRNA precursor, 68 nt
Filed under: Nematostella vectensis (starlet sea anemone)
Lineage: Eukaryota; Metazoa; Cnidaria; Anthozoa; Actiniaria; Edwardsiidae
Description: mir-9437 microRNA precursor family
Rfam family: mir-9437 microRNA precursor family
Source: Rfam by way of RNAcentral
CCUUAACGAGAAUCUGAUACGGUUCCAGUCAGACCGGAGGGAAAAUACGCUAAUACAGCUUCGCAACC